Dermochelys coriacea (leatherback sea turtle) is the source of this 212-nucleotide long non-coding RNA. RefSeq lists it as uncharacterized. The record is from RefSeq and is a predicted model, not a curated record. NCBI's taxonomy places the organism in Eukaryota, Metazoa, Chordata, Testudines, Dermochelyidae. The transcript is spliced from 2 exons.
GGAAGACGAUGAUGAGGACGCUGUAGAUAGCUCCCAACAAACAAACGGAGAAACCGGUUUUCCCGACAGCCAGGAACUGUUUCUCACCCUGGACCUGGAGCCAGUACCCCCCAAACCCACCUAAGGCUGCCUACCGGACCCACCAGGCGAAGAAGAAGGGACCUCUGCUGCAUGUGUUUCAAGGAUCACAGGAUCUUCUCCUUCCCAGAGGC